GAGUUUGAUCCUGGCUCAGGAUUAACGCUGGCGGCAUGCCUAAUACAUGCAAGUCGAACGGAGUAGCAAUACCUAGUGGCGAACGGGUGGGUAACACGUAUCUAAUCUACCAUUUAGUGGGGAAUAACUGUUGGAAACGACAGCUAAUACCGCAUAAUAUUGCUGGAUAAUUUCCAGUAAUGAAAGGAGCUUUCAAGCUCCGCUGAUUGAUGAGGAUGCGGCGCAUUAGCUAGUUGGUAGGGUAAUGGCCUACCAAGGCAAUGAUGCGUAGCCGAUCUGAGAGGAUGAACGGCCACAUUGGGACUGAGACACGGCCCAAACUUCUACGGAAGGCAGCAGUAGGGAAUUUUUCACAAUGGGCGAAAGCCUGAUGGAGCAAUGCCGCGUGACUGAUGAAGGUCUUCGGAUUGUAAAGGUCUGUUGUAAGGGAAGAAAUGGUAAAACAGGAAAUGGUUUUAUCUAUGACGGUACCUUACCAGAAAGCCACGGCUAACUAUGUGCCAGCAGCCGCGGUAAUACAUAGGUGGCAAGCGUUAUCCGGAUUUAUUGGGCGUAAAGGGUGCGUAGACGGUUUUGCAAGUCUGAGGUUAAAUUUAGGAGCUCAACUCCUAAUCGCCUUGGAAACUACAAGACUAGAGUAUAGGAGAGGUUAGUGGAAUUCCAUGUGUAGCGGUGGAAUGUGUAGAUAUAUGGAGGAACACCAGUGGCGAAGG
Molecule: ribosomal RNA, 713 nt
Filed under: uncultured Spiroplasma sp.
Lineage: Bacteria; Bacillati; Mycoplasmatota; Mollicutes; Entomoplasmatales; Spiroplasmataceae
Description: bacterial SSU rRNA
Rfam family: Bacterial small subunit ribosomal RNA
Source: RNAcentral